RNAcentral lists this long non-coding RNA (1352 nucleotides) under Citrus x clementina. Its description in RNAcentral is "Citrus clementina (C. clementina) long non-coding RNA (CCLE_LNC005796)". Lineage: Eukaryota; Viridiplantae; Streptophyta; Magnoliopsida; Sapindales; Rutaceae. The record is from RNAcentral.
CUUCGGGCGGUUAUUUUUGUGUGCGUCUCUGCCCGCAGCCUAUUCUUGGCUCAAGGAGGCCCCUCGCAAAGUCUCGCGGGAUUCCGAGUCCGGCGGACGAAGUUGGCCAGCCCCACCCCCCAAGGCUAUAGCCCACCUGUUUUUGUGGCCUUGUUCCGCUGGACGAACAUGGCGCCCCGGCUUUCGGGCGGUUAUUUUUGGGUGCGGCUUUGACCACGGCCUAGUCUUGGCUCACGGAGGACCCUCUCAAAGUCUCACGGCAUUCCGAGUCCGGCGGACGAAGUUGGCGAGCCCCACCCCCCAAGGCUAUAGCCCACCCGUUUUUGUGGCCUUUUUCCGCUGGACGAACUUGGCGCCCUGGCCUUCGGGCGGUUAUUUUUGGGCGCGGCUUGGUCCGCGUCCUAGUUUUGGCUUACGGAGGCCCCUCGCAAUGGCUCGCGGUAUUCCGAGUCGGGCGGACAAAGUAGACCAGCCCCACCCCCCAAGGCUAUAGCCCACCCGUUUUUGUGGCCUUUUUCCGCUGGUCGAACUUGGCGACCCGGCCUUCGGGCGGUUAUUUUUGGGCGCGGCUUUGCCCGCGGCCUAUUUUUGGCACGUGGAAGCCCCUCGCAAAGUGUCGCGGCAUUCCGAAUCCGGCGGACGAAGUUGGCCUGCCCCACCCCCCCAAGGCUAUAGCCCACCCGUUUUUGUGGCCUUUUUCCGCUGGACGAACAUGGAGCCCCGGCCUUCGGGAGGUUAUUUUUGGGUGCGACUUUGCCCGUGGCCUAUUUUUGGCACACGGAGGCCCCUUCCAAAGUCUCGCGGCAUUCCGAGUCCGGCGGACGAAGUGGGCCAGCCCCACCCCCCAAGGCUAUAGCCCAACCGUUUUUCUGGCAUUUUUCCGCUGGACGAACUUGGUGCCCCGGCCUUCGGGCAGUUAUUUUUGGGUGCGGCUUUGUCCGCGGCCUAUUUUUGGCACACGGAGGCCCCUCGCAAAGUCUCGCGGCAUUCCGAGUCCGGCGGACGAAGUUGGCCAGCCCCACCCCCCAAGGCUAUAGCCCACCCGUUUUUGUGGCCUUUUUCCGCUGGGGGAACUUGGCGCCCCGGCCUUCGGGCGUUUAUUUUUGGGCUCGGCCUUGCCUGCGGCCUAUUUUUAACACACGGAGGCCCCUCGCAAAGUCUCGCGGCGUUCCGAGUCCGGCGGACAAAGUGGGCCAGCCCCACCCCCCAAGGCUAUAGCCCACCCGUUUUUGUGGACUUUUUCCGCUGGACGAACUUGGCGCCCCGGCCUUCGGGCGGUUAUUUUUGGGCGCGGCUUUGCCCGCUGCCUAUUUUUGGCACAGGGAGGCCCUUCGCAAAGUCUCGCGGCAUUC